GGUUGAGUAUAUAUGUUAUUUUAUCUAUGUCAUUUAAAUUUAUAAAGUGGAUGAGUAUUCUCAUUUCUCAAAAAAUCAAAAUAAGCUUUUCUAUUAUUAUGGUUUCUUUUACAAUAUAAAAAGAAAUGAAUUUCAUCUUCAAUUUGUUUGAAGUUUUUGCAUAAUCUUUCUUCUCUUGGUAUUUUAAGGUAUCUUCCAUUUUCUAUUAAAUUAUGGUCGCUUAAGGGGGCUCGCGGGUCUAAAUCAUUUAAAAAAAUUUAAUAUAGGAUUUCGCUAUAUUUUUCUAUAAAUAAACUUUAUCUUAUACUUAAU
Molecule: long non-coding RNA, 312 nt
Filed under: Mytilus galloprovincialis (Mediterranean mussel)
Lineage: Eukaryota; Metazoa; Mollusca; Bivalvia; Mytilida; Mytilidae
Source: RNAcentral